RNAcentral lists this long non-coding RNA (899 nucleotides) under Mus spicilegus (steppe mouse). RNAcentral's name for it is "lncRNA (ENSMSIG00000006030.1)". The record is from RNAcentral. Lineage: Eukaryota; Metazoa; Chordata; Mammalia; Rodentia; Muridae.
GUCAAGUCCGUUCCCGCUGGGGACAAGUGCAUCAGCUCCAGAACGACCUCUCCCUUGCUUAGCCCUGCCCCGGGAGAUCAGAGUGACCCAACGCCCUGGGGUACCGGCUCCCGCCUCCCUGUCGUCGUCUUGUUGGGCCAAUCGUCUGGCUCUGGGUCGCUGCCCCGGCGCACGGGCUCAGGAAGGCAGCAGCUGCACGGGGUUCCCAUUCCACCCGGGACAGGUAUGGACCGGCCGGGCCCCUGGAGAGAGUCUCCUCUGAGCCCAUCGCUGAGGCUCCGCCGGGAAAAGAGUAAACCUUCCUCUCCACGCUACUCCAAGUGGACACUGAUGGGCAGGAAAAGGCUGGAACGAAAAGCCCUGGCCUUUGCUGGCCUCGAUGGCUUUGCAGAAGAGAGGUGGCCUCCACCCACGUCUCCCCUCCCCCUCCGCGCCACACAGCAGGCUGCUAUUGAAAUCAAUUUGGACAUGACAAGUUGAAGGAAAAUGUUAAGACAGUGUGCGUUUUAUGCUGAAGAAUAUAUAUUAAGUACUGCAGUUUGUCACCGGCUUGGCUGGCCCCCUUAACAGUUGAAGCUCUGUUCCUCCUAUGAAAGACUCAGCUACUCUAUCUCCUGGCUGAAGUCUCCAAGCUCCCCGAACACCGUGGUCCCUGAGGCUGUGAGACUCUCUCUUGCAAGUCAGCACCUGAGGAUCCCUGGUCCAAGCUUCAUUCCUCUGGGUCCAAGAACCUAGAAGAAAAGCCUGGAGCCACACACUCACCUGGGUGAAGCCAUAAGGAGGUAAGCUUUCAUAACGAGGGAACAUAUAUCAAAACUCGUGGCUUUGAGAACCGGAGGAACUGGUGUUCAGACGUUUAGUGUCUCCAGCCAGAGCAUAAAGCAACAACUGGUGCCAAA